UGGGGCAUAUUGCACAAUGGGCGCAAGCCUGAUGCAGCCAUGCCGCGUGUAUGAAGAAGGCCUUCGGGUUGUAAAGUACUUUCAGCGAGGAGGAAGGCGUUGUGGUUAAUAACCGCAACGAUUGACGUUACUCGCAGAAGAAGCACCGGCUAACUCCGUGCCAGCAGCCGCGGUAAUACGGCGGGUGCAAGCGUUAAUCGGAAUUACUGGGCGUAAAGCGCAAGCAGGCGGUCUGUCAAGUCGGAUGUGAAAUCCCCGGGCUCAACCUGGGAACUGCAUCCGAAACUGGCAGGCUAGAGUCUUGUAGAGGGGGGUAGAAUUCCAGGUGUAGCGGUGAAAUGCGUAGAGAUCUGGAGGAAUACCGGUGGCGAAGGCGGCCCCCUGGACAAAGACUGACGCUCAGGUGCGAAAGCGUGGGGAGCAAACA
RNAcentral lists this ribosomal RNA (427 nucleotides) under uncultured bacterium. RNAcentral's name for it is "partial 16S ribosomal RNA". It matches the Rfam family "Bacterial small subunit ribosomal RNA", at positions 355 to 774 of the family's 1533-position model. The record is from RNAcentral.